GACUCAGUGGUCCAAUGGUAAAGCGUUUGUUGCUGAGCCAUAUGGUCCUGGGUUCGAUCCCCAAUAGGGUUG
This 72-nucleotide transfer RNA is filed under the name Schistosoma japonicum. RNAcentral describes it as "tRNA-OTHER". Lineage: Eukaryota; Metazoa; Platyhelminthes; Trematoda; Strigeidida; Schistosomatidae. The record is from RNAcentral.